AUCACUAGAGCAACCAAAAAGCUUUAUGACGCAUGUUAUGCGUCUUGGCAUGAAUUCUCAUUCUCACUGAAGGAGGCAAUUUUCAAUGAAUUUAAGGUAUAAAUAUUCGGUUAAGCAGCAUAAUUAUUUAUUUUUAUGAUAUUUUCAUAUAAUAUUUAACUUUUGAAAUAAAGAGCAAGUGUGUAUAAGAACACCAGUAUAGCGCGGACGUGGCUACAAAUUUUCAUCUGAAACAUCGCAAGCGGUUGUCUCAUAUUUUCUCCAAAGCUAGACAGAUGAACCAGAAUCCUGACUGGUUGCUUCAGAUUUUUUGGGAUGAUUUUCAAAUGCAAUGAUUUACUGUAGAUUUCUUAGAGAAGAGCGAAAUAGAAAAGAAAGCUCGCGCAUCUGAGAAGGUAAGAUCCUUGCACACUAGAGGAGCAGUCAUCCUGGGGACAAUAAAAAGAAGAAUGAUACAUAAUUGCUUAAUUUAUUUUAAAUUUAUAUGCAUAUGAAUUCUAUUAAUUAAUUAAAAUUUAUGAGUUUUUAGGAAAAGAUGUUGGGUCGUCCGAUGAACCAAGAUGAGCUAUUCAAAGAGACUCAUAUUGUGAAGAAG
RNAcentral lists this long non-coding RNA (595 nucleotides) under Nicotiana benthamiana. RNAcentral's name for it is "long non-coding RNA (NBEN_LNC034023)". The record is from RNAcentral. Lineage: Eukaryota; Viridiplantae; Streptophyta; Magnoliopsida; Solanales; Solanaceae.